RNAcentral lists this small RNA (63 nucleotides) under Prodigiosinella confusarubida. RNAcentral describes it as "Serratia sp. ATCC 39006 Pseudomonas sRNA P26". It matches the Rfam family "Pseudomonas sRNA P26". From Rfam's summary of the family: P26 is conserved across many Gammaproteobacteria species and appears to be consistently located between the DNA directed RNA polymerase (beta subunit) and 50S ribosomal protein L7/L12 genes. Lineage: Bacteria; Pseudomonadati; Pseudomonadota; Gammaproteobacteria; Enterobacterales; Pectobacteriaceae. The record is from Rfam by way of RNAcentral.
AACUUCCAGGUUGCAGCCUGACUUAAUCAGGCUGGCGGCUGGUGACUUUUGGGUCACCAGCCU